This 1044-nucleotide long non-coding RNA is filed under the name Homo sapiens (human). RNAcentral describes it as "HSALNT0048336". Lineage: Eukaryota; Metazoa; Chordata; Mammalia; Primates; Hominidae. The record is from RNAcentral.
UCCUCAAUCUCUCUUCUCACCCUCACAGUCGGCUCUCCUCUUUAUCUAAUUAUCCUCCAGUGAAAGCAUUUUCCUUAGAUCUUGCCUCUCAAUUUCCCUGUCCUACUUAUAGAGAUCAACUGUGCUCCUUCCUUGUCUCUUGUUACCAAGUCUACUCACCUAGCCACCAUUUACCACAACUGAUAAAGCAAAAGUGAUAAACUGAGGAAAAAAUGUGUUGGUCUUAUAAAUAAAAGAUUGUUCAGUCAAAAAACAGGAUGGGAUUGGUUAUAGGUAAUGAAAAUUAUUUUUGUCACAUAUGCACAUUAAAAAUAAGGCAAUUUGUCACAUACACUGCUAAAGGACUUGAAGUAAAUGAUGCUGGAAAUGGAAAGGAAAUGAUGCUGGUGAUGGAAAGGAGAUGGUGCUGCUGAUCAAAAGAAGAUGGUGCUGCUGAUGGAAAGGAGAUGGUGCUGGAGAUGAUGGAAAGGAGAUGGUGCUGGUGAUGAUGGAAAGGAGAUGACACUGGUGAUGAUGGAAAGGAGAUGACACUGGUGAUGAUGGAAAGCAGAUGAUGCUGGUGAUGAUGGAAAGGAGUUGAUGCUGGUGAUGAUGGAAAGGAGAUGAUGCUGGUGAUGGAAAGGAGAUGGUGCUGAUGAUGAUGGAAAGGAGAUGGUGCUGGUGAUGGAAAGGAGAUGGUGCUGCUGAUGGAAAGGAGGCAUAUAUGGAAGCAUGAAUGGACCACACCUCAUUGCCCAGUUAUUCCUCUGCUUUCUAUUAGCAUUCUUUAUGGUUUAGUGCCCUAGUCAAGUGAUAGAUCAUCCUCUUGUUAAGAUAGUCUUUAUACAAACAGAUUUUCUCUCCUAUCUCAAGCUGAUGGAAAUUAUUUUACUUUGCCUUAUGCAUUACAUCCCUUUUGUGCUCAUUAUGCAUUGAAGAGCUGGAACCACUAAUAGCGGUAGCAAUUUCUUCUCAUAAUGUUUCCUUCUCAUGUAGAAAGUUAUAGUUUCAAAUUUAACUGGAAUCACAAGAGAUCAAGUGCUCUGAAAUUUUAUUGAAGAUGCA